RNAcentral lists this ribosomal RNA (253 nucleotides) under uncultured bacterium. RNAcentral describes it as "partial 16S ribosomal RNA". It matches the Rfam family "Bacterial small subunit ribosomal RNA", at positions 524 to 776 of the family's 1533-position model. The record is from RNAcentral.
UACGAAGGGGGCUAGCGUUGUUCGGAAUUACUGGGCGUAAAGCGCACGUAGGCGGACAUUUAAGUCAGGGGUGAAAUCCCAGAGCUCAACUCUGGAACUGCCUUUGAUACUGGGUGUCUUGAGUAUGGAAGAGGUGAGUGGAAUUCCGAGUGUAGAGGUGAAAUUCGUAGAUAUUCGCAAGAACACCAGUGGCGAAGGCGGCUCACUGGGACGGUACUGACGCUGAGACGCGAAAGCGUGGGGAGCGAACAGG